UCUAAGACUGAUGGCGACCGGCGCACGGGUGAGUAACACGUAUCCAACCUGCCCUUUACUCGGGGAUAGCCUUUCGAAAGAAAGAUUAAUACCCGAUAGCAUAAUGAUUCCGCAUGGUUUCAUUAUUAAAGGAUUCCGGUAAAGGAUGGGGAUGCGUUCCAUUAGGUUGUUGGUGGGGUAACGGCCCACCAAGCCUUCGAUGGAUAGGGGUUCUGAGAGGAAGGUCCCCCACAUUGGAACUGAGACACGGUCCAA
This 255-nucleotide ribosomal RNA is filed under the name uncultured bacterium. Its description in RNAcentral is "partial 16S ribosomal RNA". It matches the Rfam family "Bacterial small subunit ribosomal RNA", at positions 78 to 334 of the family's 1533-position model. The record is from RNAcentral.